This 505-nucleotide ribosomal RNA is filed under the name uncultured bacterium. RNAcentral describes it as "partial 16S ribosomal RNA". It matches the Rfam family "Bacterial small subunit ribosomal RNA", at positions 28 to 507 of the family's 1533-position model. The record is from RNAcentral.
GACGAACGCUGGCGGCGUGCCUAAUACAUGCAAGUGGGACGCAAGGAAACACACUGUGCUUGCACACCGUGUUUUCUUGAGUCGCGAACGGGUGAGUAACGCGUAGGUAACCUGCCUAUUAGCGGGGGAUAACUAUUGGAAACGAUAGCUAAUACCGCAUAAUAUUAAUUAUUGCAUGAUACUUGAUUGAAAGAUGCAAGCGCAUCACUAGUAGAUGGACCUGCGUUGUAUUAGCUAGUUGGUAAGGUAAGAGCUUACCAAGGCGACGAUACAUAGCCGACCUGAGAGGGUGAUCGGCCACACUGGGACUGAGACACGGCCCAGACUCCUACGGGAGGCAGCAGUAGGGAAUCUUCGGCAAUGGACGAAAGUCUGACCGAGCAACGCCGCGUGAGUGAAGAAGGUUUUCGGAUCGUAAAGCUCUGUUGUAAGUCAAGAACGUGUGUGAGAGUGGAAAGUUCACACAGUGACGGUAGCUUACCAGAAAGGGACGGCUAACUACGUG